This 639-nucleotide long non-coding RNA is filed under the name Homo sapiens (human). Its description in RNAcentral is "HSALNT0362529". Lineage: Eukaryota; Metazoa; Chordata; Mammalia; Primates; Hominidae. The record is from RNAcentral.
CUGCUGGUAGAGAAUCAGAGGCUUGUAGAUGUCUUUGCCACUUCCACGGGAUCUCUGGGAGCUGGAAACUGAGCUUUAAGAAAUAACUAUAGUGCAAAGGGAACUAAGGGAAAAGGGUUCAGCCCAAAGCAGAAGGGACUGUGAUGAUCACAGUGACCUCCUGAGGCCAGCAUGGUGGUAGCAGCCAGAGACAGCAGCUGAGUGAGACCCUAAGGGAGGGAUGAGCCAGGCAGUGUGUGGUUGGAGUUCUCCCUACACAUCUCGUUUUCCUCACCUCCAGAUCACACACAUGCACACACACAUAUGCACCCACACACCCCUUACACACUCCGGCCCGAAGGUUUCUGCAGGACUCCUUCCUGGCACUCUCUCCAGUGCUGCCAGCGUCGCACCACACUGCAAGGCUUUGCAAACUUUCCUUCCAAAGUGAAGGAGACCCUCUGGCCAUCUGAGGCUCGGUCUGAAGCAACAGCCUCAGAGCGCAAUCUCAGGCAUGCAGGAAGUGCAGGAAGGCCACGUGCCACAUACGUUAUCUCACUUAAUCUCAUUAGCAGGAAAUGUCUUUAAAGUCUUAUGUUGGUGCUUAAAAAUUCCUGAGCAGUUUAGCCCUUAAUAAAGCCAGGCUUUUUAAAAUUUGAA